AUUUAAAUAGUUUAUUUUAAAAUAUUGAUUUGUGGUGUCAAUGAUAUGAGUUAAUCAUUUUAGAUC
This 66-nucleotide transfer RNA is filed under the name Bactrocera oleae (olive fruit fly). RNAcentral describes it as "tRNA-His". The record is from RNAcentral. Lineage: Eukaryota; Metazoa; Arthropoda; Insecta; Diptera; Tephritidae.